Molecule: ribosomal RNA, 436 nt
Filed under: uncultured bacterium
Lineage: Bacteria
Description: bacterial SSU rRNA
Rfam family: Bacterial small subunit ribosomal RNA
Source: RNAcentral
CUGCAAGUCGAGCGCGAAAGCGGGGGCAACCCCGUGAGUAAAGCGGCGCACGGGUGCGUAACACGUGGGUAACUUUCCCUCAGGCGCGGGAUAACGCCUCGAAAGGGGCGCUAAUACCGCAUAAGACCACGAAGAUGUUGGUUUUCGUGGUAAAAGGGGCGGGCAACCGAUUCACCUGAGGAUGGGCCCGUGGCCCAUUAGCUUGUUGGUGGGGUAAUGCCCUACCAAGGCGAUGAUGGGUAGCUGGUCUGAGAGGACGACCAGCCACACUGGGACUGAGACACGGCCCAGACUCUUACGGGAGGCAGCAGUGAGGAAUAUUGCGCAAUGGGCGAAAGCCUGACGCAGCGACGCCGCGUGGGGGAAGAAGGCCUUCGGGUCGUAAAUCCCCUGUAAGGAGGAACGAUGUGGUACAGCCAACACCUGUACCAUGACG